GAUGAACGCUGGCGGCGUGCUUAACACAUGCAAGUCGAACGGAAAGGCCCCUGCUUGCAGGGGUACUCGAGUGGCGAACGGGUGAGUAACACGUGGGUGAUCUGCCCUGCACUUCGGGAUAAGCCUGGGAAACUGGGUCUAAUACCGGAUAGGACGAUGGUUUGGAUGCCAUUGUGGAAAGUUUUUCGGUGUGGGAUGGGCUCGCGGCCUAGCAGCUUGUUGGUGGGGUUAUGGCCUACCAAGGCGUCGACGGGUAGCCGGCCUAAGAGGGGGUUGGGCCACGUUGGAACUGAGAUACGGCCCAAGCACCUAGGGGAGGCAGCAGAUGGGAGUAUGGCACAAUGAGCGCAGGCCUGAUGAAGCGGCGCGGCGUGGGGGAUGACGGCCUUCGGGGUGUAAGGUUCUUUCGCUAGGGACGACGCGCAAGUGACGGUACCUAGAAAAAAAGCACCGGCUAACUACGU
Molecule: ribosomal RNA, 464 nt
Filed under: uncultured bacterium
Lineage: Bacteria
Description: partial 16S ribosomal RNA
Rfam family: Bacterial small subunit ribosomal RNA
Source: RNAcentral